This 253-nucleotide ribosomal RNA is filed under the name uncultured bacterium. RNAcentral describes it as "partial 16S ribosomal RNA". It matches the Rfam family "Bacterial small subunit ribosomal RNA", at positions 524 to 776 of the family's 1533-position model. The record is from RNAcentral.
UACGAAGGGGGCUAGCGUUGUUCGGAAUUACUGGGCGUAAAGCGCACGUAGGCGGAUCGAUCAGUCAGGGGUGAAAUCCCAGGGCUCAACCCUGGAACUGCCUUUGAUACUGUCGAUCUGGAGUAUGGAAGAGGUGAGUGGAAUUCCGAGUGUAGAGGUGAAAUUCGUAGAUAUCGGGAGGAACACCAGUGGCGAAGGCGACUUCCUGGCCUGUUCUUGACGCUGAGGCGCGAAAGCUAGGGGAGCAAACGGG